Chlorocebus sabaeus (green monkey) is the source of this 101-nucleotide microRNA precursor. Lineage: Eukaryota; Metazoa; Chordata; Mammalia; Primates; Cercopithecidae. The record is from Ensembl.
UGAGGCAGGAGAAUUGCUUGAACCCAGGAGGUGGAGGUUGCAGUGAGCCGAGAUUGCGCCACUGCACUCCAGCCUGGGUGACAGAGCGAGACUCCAUCUCA